UGACCAGACUCCUACGGGAGGCAGCAGUGAGGAAUAUUGGUCAAUGGGCGAGAGCCUGAACCAGCCAAGUCGCGUGAGGGAAGACGGUCCUAUGGAUUGUAAACCUCUUUUGCCGGGGAGCAAAAAGCGGUACGCGUACCGCAUCGAGAGUACCCGGAGAAAAAGCAUCGGCUAACUCCGUGCCAGCAGCCGCGGUAAUACGGAGGAUGCGAGCGUUAUCCGGAUUUAUUGGGUUUAAAGGGUGCGCAGGCGGGCUGUUAAGCCGGCGGUAAAAAUUCAGGGCUCAACCCUGUCGAGCCGUCGGAACUGGCAGUCUUGAGUGGGCGAGAAGUAUGCGGAAUGCGUGGUGUAGCGGUGAAAUGCAUAGAUAUCACGCAGAACGCCGAUUGCGAAGGCAGCAUACCGGCGCCCAACUGACGCUGAGGCACGAAAGCGUGGGGAUCGAACAGGAUUAGAUACCCUGGUAC
This 467-nucleotide ribosomal RNA is filed under the name uncultured bacterium. RNAcentral's name for it is "bacterial SSU rRNA". It matches the Rfam family "Bacterial small subunit ribosomal RNA", at positions 328 to 793 of the family's 1533-position model. The record is from RNAcentral.